GACGAACGCUGGCGGCGUGCUUAACACAUGCAAGUCGAACGGAAAGGCCCUGCUUUUGUGGGGUGCUCGAGUGGCGAACGGGUGAGUAACACGUGAGUAACCUGCCCUUGACUUUGGGAUAACUUCAGGAAACUGGGGCUAAUACCGGAUAGGAGCUCCUGCUGCAUGGUGGGGGUUGGAAAGUUUCGGCGGUUGGGGAUGGACUCGCGGCUUCUCAGCUUGUUGGUGGGGUAGUGGCUUACCAAGGCUUUGACGGGUAGCCGGCCUGAGAGGGUGACCGGCCACAUUGGGACGGAGACACGGCCGAGACGGAUACGGGAGGCAAGAGGAGAGAAUAGUGCAAAAUGGGCGGAAGCCUGAUGAAGCAACUCCGCGUGCGGGAUGACGGACUUCUGGUUGGAAACCGCUUUCGGCAGUGACGAAGCGUGAGUGACGGUAAUGGGUAAAGAAGCACCGGCUAACUACGUG
RNAcentral lists this ribosomal RNA (468 nucleotides) under uncultured bacterium. RNAcentral describes it as "partial 16S ribosomal RNA". It matches the Rfam family "Bacterial small subunit ribosomal RNA", at positions 28 to 507 of the family's 1533-position model. The record is from RNAcentral.